AACCAAACCCAGCAGUUCCGUACCAGGUUCCACCAAGGGUGCCAAGCGGCAGCGUAAAUAUAAAAAUUCACGUAGUUGUUCCAGUGCUGACGAUGACGACGACGACGAUGAUAUCGAUCCCCUGACGAAGGAUCGAAAGGAGAAGGAACGAAGACAGGCCAACAAUGCCCGCGAAA
Aedes aegypti (yellow fever mosquito) is the source of this 176-nucleotide long non-coding RNA. RefSeq lists it as uncharacterized. The record is from RefSeq and is a predicted model, not a curated record. The transcript is spliced from 2 exons. Lineage: Eukaryota; Metazoa; Arthropoda; Insecta; Diptera; Culicidae.